RNAcentral lists this ribosomal RNA (1293 nucleotides) under Nocardiopsis sp. RNAcentral's name for it is "bacterial SSU rRNA". It matches the Rfam family "Bacterial small subunit ribosomal RNA", at positions 122 to 1408 of the family's 1533-position model. Lineage: Bacteria; Bacillati; Actinomycetota; Actinomycetes; Streptosporangiales; Nocardiopsidaceae. The record is from RNAcentral.
CAACCUGCCCCUGACUCUGGGAUAAGCGGUGGAAACGCCGUCUAAUACCGGAUACGACCCGCCACCUCAUGGUGGAGGGUGGAAAGUUUUUCGGUCAGGGAUGGGCUCGCGGCCUAUCAGCUUGUUGGUGGGGUAACGGCCUACCAAGGCGAUUACGGGUAGCCGGCCUGAGAGGGCGACCGGCCACACUGGGACUGAGACACGGCCCAGACUCCUGCGGGAGGCAGCAGUGGGGAAUAUUGCGCAAUGGGCGAAAGCCUGACGCAGCGACGCCGCGUGGGGGAUGACGGCCUUCGGGUUGUAAACCUCUUUUACCACCAACGCAGGCUUCCAGUUCUCUGGAGGUUGACGGUAGGUGGGGAAUAAGGACCGGCUAACUACGUGCCAGCAGCCGCGGUAAUACGUAGGGUCCGAGCGUUGUCCGGAAUUAUUGGGCGUAAAGAGCUCGUAGGCGGCGUGUCGCGUCUGCUGUGAAAGACCGGGGGCUUAACUCCGGUUCUGCAGUGGAUACGGGCAUGCUAGAGGUAGGUAGGGGGAAGACUGGAAUUCCUGGUGUAGCGGUGAAAUGCGCAGAUAUCAGGAGGAACACCGGUGGGCGAAGGCGGGUCUCUGGGGCCUUACCUGACGCUGAGGAGCGAAAGCAUGGGGGAGCGAACAGGAUUAGAUACCCUGGUAGUCCAUGCCGUAAACGUUGGGCGCUAGGUGUGGGGACUUUCCACGGUUUCCGCGCCGUAGCUAACGCAUUAAGCGCCCCGCCUGGGGAGUACGGCCGCAAGGCUAAAACUCAAAGGAAUUGACGGGGGCCCGCACAAGCGGCGGAGCAUGUUGCUUAAUUCGACGCAACGCGAAGAACCUUACCAAGGUUUGACAUCACCCGUGGACUCGCAGAGAUGUGAGGUCAUUUAGUUGGCGGGUGACAGGUGGUGCAUGGCUGUCGUCAGCUCGUGUCGUGAGAUGUUGGGUUAAGUCCCGCAACGAGCGCAACCCUUGUUCCAUGUUGCCAGCACGUAAUGGUGGGGACUCAUGGGAGACUGCCGGGGUCAACUCGGAGGAAGGUGGGGAUGACGUCAAGUCAUCAUGCCCCUUAUGUCUUGGGCUGCAAACAUGCUACAAUGGCCGGUACAAUGGGCGUGCGAUACCGUAAGGUGGAGCGAAUCCCUAAAAGCCGGUCUCAGUUCGGAUUGGGGUCUGCAACUCGACCCCAUGAAGGUGGAGUCGCUAGUAAUCGCGGAUCAGCAACGCCGCGGUGAAUACGUUCCCGGGCCUUGUACACACCGCCCGUCACGUCAUGAA